GCGCCCGUAGCUCAGGGGAUAGAGCAUUGGUUUCCGAAACCAAGGGUCGCAGGUUCAAAUCCUGCCGGGCGCACCA
RNAcentral lists this transfer RNA (76 nucleotides) under Alphaproteobacteria bacterium. Its description in RNAcentral is "tRNA-Arg". It matches the Rfam family "tRNA". Rfam says of the family: Transfer RNA (tRNA) molecules are approximately 80 nucleotides in length. Their secondary structure includes four short double-helical elements and three loops (D, anti-codon, and T loops). The record is from RNAcentral. Lineage: Bacteria; Pseudomonadati; Pseudomonadota; Alphaproteobacteria.